This 803-nucleotide long non-coding RNA is filed under the name Sorghum bicolor (sorghum). Its description in RNAcentral is "long non-coding RNA (SBIC_LNC000439)". Lineage: Eukaryota; Viridiplantae; Streptophyta; Magnoliopsida; Poales; Poaceae. The record is from RNAcentral.
GCCUAAUUUUCAAAUUUAAAGCUCUCUCUCUCAAGUUUAGACAUAACUAUUAUAAUUUAAAGCUUGCUCUAAACCUAAACUUGUAGGAAGAGAACUCGAUCUAAAGUCUAAGUCGUUAACGGAUAGGAUAUGGAAGGUUGAGUUGCUGUUUAUCUUUUUCUAGUGAUGCUAGAAUUCUGGAGAAUUUUAUCUUUGAAAAUCUUUAAAAUAUUGCAUGAUGAGUUCCUGUAUGAUGAGAGUUUAAAUUCUUACCACAGCCAUAUAUACAUGCUUAUUAAACUAAAAACCAUACAUUUACUUUUUACUCCCUAUGAGCAUUGAGUGUGGUCAAGGUGUGUAGACCCUUAGGAGCUUGUCAUGCGGUUAAAAUCAAGAUUCACUUGCACGUUCACUCAUACAUGCUGCUUCUAUUCCGGAAGUACAUAUCCACAUACAUCCACUCAUUUCCAUCUCUGGAUUCACCCAAAAUUAUUCUACUCUUAUCCAGAAGAGAAUAGCCAAAAACAUUAUCCUACCCCUGUUAUUCCCUAUGAAAUAAAUGCUCGAGAUAUUUUGGUUACUACCACUUGCUAUAUUAUUCUAGGAGGGUGAGUUCUCUAAAAAAAGUGAAUACGAGAAAAUAAAAAGGGGCAAGUGCCCGAAACCUCGAAGAAAAAAAGUGAGACGAGAGGUAAAAAUAGACAAGUGUCCGACAGUAGAAUUAGGGGUACAAGAUACCCACCUGAGAGAAAAGAAAAAGAAAAUAUAGAGCAUCUCAUUCUCCUCAAAAAGCUUCAAAGUGCAAGAAAGGUAUGUAUCCCCUC